AAAAUAAAACAAAACAAAAUAAAAUGAAUCCUAAAAAUGCCUGUAUGAGUAGCAAAUAUAUAUAAAUAUAGAUCUCUGUGCAACCAGUAAAAUGCCCAGGGUAAUCCAAAAAUUGGAAACAAACACGCAUGGGACUCGACUGCUGGAGCAAACAACAUAGUAAGAAAUAAAAUAAACAUUAACCAAAAAAGUCUUCAAUAUCCCUGUACAAAUCACAUUGAAAG
Molecule: unclassified non-coding RNA, 224 nt
Filed under: Hevea brasiliensis (rubber tree)
Lineage: Eukaryota; Viridiplantae; Streptophyta; Magnoliopsida; Malpighiales; Euphorbiaceae
Source: RNAcentral